This 201-nucleotide long non-coding RNA is filed under the name Prunus persica (peach). Its description in RNAcentral is "long non-coding RNA (PPER_LNC004787)". Lineage: Eukaryota; Viridiplantae; Streptophyta; Magnoliopsida; Rosales; Rosaceae. The record is from RNAcentral.
UCGUCCCGACUCCAGGGGCAGGAUCCCAUACUGGAUUAGAGGGAUUUCCUAUUCCCGCAUCGGUACCAGAACCGAUGGGGCAAUUUGCUGAUGGAGGCCCAACAGGGACCGCGACAGAGAUACCUAUAUUGCCGGGAGAUCCCCACUUCCAGCAAACGGUAGAGAUGUUGACCCAGGCUCUGGCAAGGACUGGGCAGCCCA